UCAGAGGCUCUACCUCUGUCUGGGUGGGGUGGUCGGGGUGCACUGUGAUGGAGAUAAGGUGGCGUGAUGGAGAUAAGGUGGCGUGAUGGAGAUAAGGUGGUGCUCAGUUUGGUGGAGGUGAGGUGGUGCUCAGUUUGGUGGAGGUGAGGUGGUGCUCAGUGUGAUGGAGAUGAGGUGGUGCUCAGUGUGAUGGAGAUGAGGUGGUGCUCAGUGUGAUGGAGAUAAGGUGUUGCUCAGUGGAAUGGAGAUAAGGUGGUGCUCAGUGUGAUGGCCUAAAAAAAAAAAAAAGUUUGGUUCCUGUUGGUUGUCAGUUGAGGUCAUGGGUAGGUAGGGAAUUUAUUUUAUUUUUUUAUUUUAUUUUUUCCAGCGGCAGCGAAUGAUAGGUAGGUUGUUUUCAUUUAAAAACGAGAGAAUGCGCUCAUCCUUGUACAGAAUGAAGAGGUGCCUUUACAAAAACGUAAUUAUAGUUUGCAUC
Molecule: long non-coding RNA, 475 nt
Organism: Gadus macrocephalus (Pacific cod)
Lineage: Eukaryota; Metazoa; Chordata; Actinopteri; Gadiformes; Gadidae
Exons: 2
Source: RefSeq, a predicted model, not a curated record